This 377-nucleotide ribosomal RNA is filed under the name uncultured bacterium. RNAcentral describes it as "bacterial SSU rRNA". It matches the Rfam family "Bacterial small subunit ribosomal RNA", at positions 523 to 898 of the family's 1533-position model. The record is from RNAcentral.
AUACGUAGGGGGCGAGCGUUGUCCGGAGUUACUGGGCGUAAAGCGCGCGUAGGCGGUUCUUUAAGUGAUUGGUGAAAUCCCCGGGCUCAACCCGGGGUGGUCUGGUCAUACUGGGGAACUGGAGUGCGGGAGAGGAGAGUGGAACUCCUGGUGUAGCGGUGAUAUGCGUAGAGAUCAGGAAGAACACCCGUGGCGAAGGCGACUCUCUGGACCGCAACUGACGCUGAGGCGCGAAAGCCAGGGGAGCGAACGGGAUUAGAUACCCCGGUAGUCCUGGCCCUAAACGAUGGAUACUAGGUGUGGGGAGUCUCGACACUUUCCGCGCCGGAGCAAACGCAUUAAGUAUCCCGCCUGGGGAGUACGGCCGCAAGGUUAAA